UUUUUAGCUUGUGCGUCAGUUUUAUAUCUCUUGCAGAUGAGAAUGAGAUGACAUGCUGCUCUUUUUUGAAAACAUCAUUUUUUGUUUAGGUUUUUUUUCUUCGCGGGGUAUUUUUUGUUUAGAUUAGAAGAGCUUUUGUUAAGAGACGCUAUUAGUGGGAAGAGCAUUUGGCUAGCUGCGAGCGUGAGCGGUAAGGCAGAGCAAAUUGCGCCGCUCGUGAUUGAUGCCUCUUCAAUCAUUACGGCCCGUCCGUCGUUCUUUGUGAGAUUCCUGUUUUUGGUUGGGCGUCGGUCGAUCUUCUCCUUUUCUUGUCUUUUGUAUUCCACUGUCUCCCUCGUGAUCGAUUUAGUAUACAAGUAAGAAUUGAAAGGAAGAUUCAUUCAUGUGUGAACAACUGGGAGGAGGUUCUUGCACUGCUUAAGAAAUCAACGGAUAAGUUUCGCGACACAAAAAAAAAUUUGCAGCUCGAUUUAGUAUGUUGUGUGUGUUUCAAUAUUUUUGCAGCUAUAUAUAUAUACUAAAAUUUUAAUAUUAAAAGUAAUUUAUAAACUAUUCGGUUAGUCGUGCGUUGCACGUGCAUGCUAACUAGUAUAGUAAUAUAGCAAAAUCACUAGUUAAGCGGUACCUUUGCAAAGAUCACUUCCACCUUUUUAGGUUAUGACAAAUAGCACCCUUGUCGCAACUAGUGAGUUUUCUCAUUUUUCUUAGAUUCAUUUAUUCAAAACGCCUUAUCUCUUAAAUCAUGCGCUCAAAUUUGGAACCGUUUCAUCCUUGGAUUUCUCGCCUCAAAAUCUUCAAAACUAAGUCCCAUGUUAAUAGAUUUCUAUGAACUGUUUCUAACGAAAAAACCCAGAAAAAUCAGAAGCAAUAAAAUCGAG
Molecule: long non-coding RNA, 878 nt
Filed under: Hordeum vulgare
Lineage: Eukaryota; Viridiplantae; Streptophyta; Magnoliopsida; Poales; Poaceae
Description: long non-coding RNA (HVUL_LNC015947)
Source: RNAcentral